AUAUGAUGCAGGCCUGCACGUCAAAAAAUUAGGUGGGUCCGGGUUCCGCAAGGCCUGGGUGUCAGUGAACCUCCACCUUGGUAAAAGUCUCGUGGGCCUCCACAGCCUGCGGGAUCAGUUGUCAGGUUGAGUCCUGUAAAGGGCUGCGUGAGGCCUAGUGCGGUACCCCCCUCACCCCUCCCAAGGCAAGUUGCAAGGGGGCUAGAUCCACUCCCGUAUUAGCCUCCUCGACAAUUUAGAGUAGGCCACUGACAUGCAACAUAGGGUAACAUAAUAUUGCGGCUUGUCUGGAGCCUACAAUGAAAACAGGAAUGGAGGCCUGGCUGAAAAGGGGGGCAAGACAGGGCAGGUUUCGAUGUAAGUCCUCUGAGCGUUCCAGUCAGAGUACGAAAAAGGGGGGAUAGUGUCGGCCUUCAUGCCAGCGAGGGGAAAGCCCUCGAAACCCCCCCAGAAGGAUGCCAUGUGUAGCUCUGGGGGGGGGGUGGAGGGGUGCAAAGCGAUAGUUUAAAACUGAUCAGUCUCCGUGGAGUGUGAGGUGGGGUUUAAGGCGGUGGAUGGUGUUGUGUAAUGUAUGUAUUAUACGAUACCCAUAGGUCUUCAGCGAUGGCCUCUAGCUCCGACUUCUUGCCACUCUGUCUGUAGUUGUUUAAGUUCGGUAGGAUACAGAGAGAUAUCUGGAAGUCGGGGGGGUGGUUGUAGACCGAGAUUCCUAAAGAAUCGUUGGGAAUCCCCUCCCGGCAUCAGGAUAUGUGAGCGGUCUCCCCGGAACACCAUCAGCUUGAAGGGGAAUCCCCAGGCAUAUUUCAGGCCUGCGUCUCGUAGGGCUGUUGUGAUAGGCCUCCACUCCCGUCGUCUUUGAAGUGUCGACGGUGCCAGAUCCUGGUAUAAGGAUAGUGUGGCCCCUGCGUACCGUAACGGUGCAUCCCGGCUUUUCCCCAUCAGCGCUUCCUUCGUGCUAUAGUAUAGGAAGCGGACGAUUACGUCCCGCGGGGUGUUGGUGUCGAUCUUUUGAGGUCUCAGGGCUCUAUGUGCCCUUUCCAUGUGCCACUGUUCCUCCGAUAAGGCGGGCAGGAGAGGCUUUAGAGCGGAUAGUAGUAUCCCCUUCAAAUCUUCAUCUUUCUCCUCGGGGAGACCCCGAAUGCGGAGGUUAUUUCUCCGUGACCGGUUGGCCAUGUCUUCCAAUGUUAG
Pelobates cultripes (western spadefoot toad) is the source of this 1188-nucleotide non-coding RNA. Lineage: Eukaryota; Metazoa; Chordata; Amphibia; Anura; Pelobatidae. The record is from the annotation of a GenBank genome assembly.